RNAcentral lists this ribosomal RNA (469 nucleotides) under uncultured bacterium. RNAcentral describes it as "partial 16S ribosomal RNA". It matches the Rfam family "Bacterial small subunit ribosomal RNA", at positions 28 to 507 of the family's 1533-position model. The record is from RNAcentral.
GACGAACGCUGGCGGCGUGCUUAACACAUGCAAGUCGAACGGUGAAGCGAGUGCUUGCUCUCGUGGAUGAGUGGCGAACGGGUGAGUAACACGUGAGUAACCUGCCCAUCACUGUGGGAUAACUACUGGAAACGGUGGCUAAUACCGGAUACGACCAACUCUUGCAUGGUGAGUGGGUGGAAGGAUCUAUCGGUGAUGGAUGGACUCGCGGUCCAUCAGCUUGUUGGCGGGGUAAUGGCCCACCAAGGCGACGACGGGUAGCCGGCCUGAGAGGGUGACCGGCCACACUGGGACUGAGACACGGCCCAGACUCCUACGGGAGGCAGCAGUGGGGAAUAUUGCACAAUGGGCGGAAGCCUGAUGCAGCGACGCCGCGUGAGGGAUGACGGCCUUCGGGUUGUAAACCGCUUUCGGCUGGGAAGAAGCGAAAGUGACGGUACCUGCAGAAGAAGCACCGGCUAACUACGUG